Molecule: transfer RNA, 72 nt
Filed under: Caenorhabditis briggsae
Lineage: Eukaryota; Metazoa; Nematoda; Chromadorea; Rhabditida; Rhabditidae
Description: tRNA CBG28281
Rfam family: tRNA
About the family: Transfer RNA (tRNA) molecules are approximately 80 nucleotides in length. Their secondary structure includes four short double-helical elements and three loops (D, anti-codon, and T loops).
Source: Rfam by way of RNAcentral
UCCGUUGUGGUCUAGUGGUUAGAAUUUUUGGCUCUCACCCAUAAGGCCGGGGUUCGAUUCCCCGCAUCAGAA